ACUUCUAAGGUUCCGGGAAGCGAGAACGUGAUACGCGGUGGUGAGAGCAUAUAGGUGUGGACAUGCUUCUCCUCGGCGCUAAGAUUAUUCCGUUCUUUAUACUCAUGAUCAUCGGAGUUUUUAAACAAAAUCCAGUGUCUAAUCUCAGAGUUUUCAUACUUUUGUUUCCAAAUCUUUAUUUUAACUUCCUGCAGUGAAGUGGUUGAGAACUGUAAUAGUAGUGCACAAGCCGCAGGGUUGCUUCUCAGAGUAACUA
RNAcentral lists this long non-coding RNA (256 nucleotides) under Brassica napus (rape). RNAcentral describes it as "long non-coding RNA (BNAP_LNC003597)". The record is from RNAcentral. Lineage: Eukaryota; Viridiplantae; Streptophyta; Magnoliopsida; Brassicales; Brassicaceae.